AGCGAACGCUGGCGGCAGGCCUAACACAUGCAAGUCGAACGAACCUUUCGGGGUUAGUGGCGGACGGGUGAGUGACACGUGGGAACGUGCCUUUAGGUUCGGAAUAACUCAGGGAAACUUGUGCUAAUACCGAAUGUGCCCUUCGGGGGAAAGAUUAAUCGCCUUUAGAGCGGCCCGCGUCUGAUUAGCUAGUUGGUUGAGGUAAUGGCUCACCAAGGCGACGAUCAGUAGCUGGUCUGAGAGGAUGAUCAGCCACAUUGGGACUGAGACACGGCCCAAACUCCUACGGGAGGCAGCAGUGGGGAAUCUUGCGCAAUGGGCGAAAGCCUGACGCAGCCAUGCCGCGUGAAUGAUGAAGGUCUUAGGAUUGUAAAAUUCUUUCACCGGGGACGAUAAUGACGGUACCCGGAGAAGAAGCCCCGGCUAACUUCGUG
This 434-nucleotide ribosomal RNA is filed under the name uncultured bacterium. RNAcentral describes it as "partial 16S ribosomal RNA". It matches the Rfam family "Bacterial small subunit ribosomal RNA", at positions 29 to 507 of the family's 1533-position model. The record is from RNAcentral.